RNAcentral lists this ribosomal RNA (459 nucleotides) under uncultured bacterium. RNAcentral describes it as "partial 16S ribosomal RNA". It matches the Rfam family "Bacterial small subunit ribosomal RNA", at positions 339 to 795 of the family's 1533-position model. The record is from RNAcentral.
CUACGGGUCGCUGCAGUAAGGAAUAUUGCGCAAUGGAGGCAACUCUGACGCAGCCAUGCCGCGUGCAGGAAGAAGGCCUUAUGGGUCGUAAACUGCCUUUAUUUAGGAAUAAACCCCCGAACGUGUUCGGGGCUGAAGGUACUAAACGAAUAAGCACCGGCUAACUCCGUGCCAGCAGCCGCGGUAAUACGGAGGGUGCAAGCGUUAUCCGGAUUUAUUGGGUUUAAAGGGUGCGCAGGCGGGCUAUUAAGUCAGUGGUGAAAUCCCGGGGCUCAACUCCGGAACUGCCAUUGAUACUGAUAGUCUUGAGUUUGGUUGAAGUGGGCGGAAUGUAGCAUGUAGCGGUGAAAUGCAUAGAUAUGCUACAGAACACCAAUCGCGAAGGCAGCUCACUAAGCCAAAACUGACGCUCAUGCACGAAAGCGUGGGGAUCAAACAGGAUUAGAUACCCGCGUAGUC